This 494-nucleotide ribosomal RNA is filed under the name uncultured bacterium. RNAcentral's name for it is "partial 16S ribosomal RNA". It matches the Rfam family "Bacterial small subunit ribosomal RNA", at positions 28 to 507 of the family's 1533-position model. The record is from RNAcentral.
GACGAACGCUGGCGGCGUGCUUAACACAUGCAAGUCGAACGGAAAGGCCUGCUUUCCCUUGUGGAUUGCGGGUACUCGAGUGGCGAACGGGUGAGUAACACGUGAGUGAUCUGCCCCCAACUUGGGUAUAAGCCUGGGAAACUGGGUCUAAUUCCCGAUAGGACUGCAGGGUGGUGCCUGUGGUGGAAAACGAUUUUCUAGUGGUUGGGGAUGAGCUCGCGGCCUAUCAGCUUGUUGGUGGGGUAAUGGCCUACCAAGGCGGCGACGGGUAGCCGGCCUGGGAGGGUGGACGGCCACAUUGGGACUGAGAUACGGCCCAGACUCCUACGGGAGGCAGCAGUGGGGAAUAUUGCACAAUGGGCGGAAGCCUGAUGCAGCGACGCGGCGUGGGGGAUGACGGCCUUCGGGUUGUAAACUCCUUUCGACCGCGAGGAAGCCACCUGGUUGGAAGGGUGGUGACGGUAGUGGUAGAAGAAGCACCGGCUAACUACGUG